Vibrio splendidus is the source of this 135-nucleotide non-coding RNA. The record is from Rfam. NCBI's taxonomy places the organism in Bacteria, Pseudomonadati, Pseudomonadota, Gammaproteobacteria, Vibrionales, Vibrionaceae.
GGAGGAACCUCUGGAGAGAACCGUACUACUUUUUUUGUAGCAAGCGGUCGCCGAAGGAGCAAGCUUAGUGCCCGUUACUUAUCUAUAAGUGAUUCGCUAAGUGAAACUCUCAGGCAAAAGGACAGAGGAGUGGAA